RNAcentral lists this ribosomal RNA (217 nucleotides) under Citrobacter freundii. Its description in RNAcentral is "partial 16S ribosomal RNA". It matches the Rfam family "Bacterial small subunit ribosomal RNA", at positions 1 to 216 of the family's 1533-position model. Lineage: Bacteria; Pseudomonadati; Pseudomonadota; Gammaproteobacteria; Enterobacterales; Enterobacteriaceae. The record is from RNAcentral. RNAcentral also lists the same sequence under 1 other name.
AAAUUGAAGAGUUUGAUCAUGGCUCAGAUUGAACGCUGGCGGCAGGCCUAACACAUGCAAGUCGAACGGUAGCACAGAGAGCUUGCUCUUGGGUGACGAGUGGCGGACGGGUGAGUAAUGUCUGGGAAACUGCCCGAUGGAGGGGGAUAACUACUGGAAACGGUAGCUAAUACCGCAUAACGUCGCAAGACCAAAGUGGGGGACCUUCGGGCCUCAC